UUGUCUCAAAGAUUAAGCCAUGCAUGUCUAAGUACAAGCCUCACUAAGGUGAAACCGCGAAUGGCUCAUUAAAUCACACCUAAUCUACUGGAUAGUCAACAGUUACUUGGGUAACUGCGGUAAUUCUGGAGCUAAUACAUGCACAAAGCCCCGAACUUACGUGAGGGGUGCUUUUAUUAGAUCAAAACCAAACGGCUUCGGCUGUUCUCUUGGUGACUCUGAAUAACUUUGGGCUGAUCGCAUAGCCUAGCGCUGGCGACAUAUCCUUCGAAGGUGUGCCCUAUCAACUGUCGACUGUGGCAUAGACGCCCACAGUGGUUUUGACGGGUAACGGGGAAUCAGGGUUCGAUUCCGGAGAGGGAGCCUUAAAAACGGCUACCACAUCUAAGGAAGGCAGCAGGCACGCAAAUUACCCAAUGCCCGAAGGGCGAGGUAGUGACGAAAAAUAACGAUACGGGACUCAUCCGAGGCCCCGUAAUCGGAAUGAUUACACUUUAAAACCGUCCCAGAGGACCCAUUGGAGGGCAAGUCUGGUGCCAGCAGCCGCGGUAAUUCCAGCUCCAAUAGCGUAUAUUAAAGUUGUUGUGGUUAAAAAGCUCGUAGUUGGAUCUCGGCAGUCCGAGGGCGGUUCGCUUGCUAGUGUUACUGCCUUAUGGACUGUAGUUUUGCCAGAGGGCUCUGGGUGCUCUUAACCGAGUGUCCAGUGUUGCUGGCAGGUUUACUUUGAAAAAAUUAGAGUGCUCAAAGCAGGCUUUCACGCCUGAAUAUUCGUGCAUGGAAUAAUAGAAUAGGAAGUCGUUUCUAUUUUGUUGGUUUUCGGAAAUCGACUUAAUGAUUAAUAGGGACAGUCGGGGGCAUUUGUAUUCAAACGACAGAGGUGAAAUUCUUGGACCGUUUGAAGACAAACUACUGCGAAAGCAUUUGCCAAGAAUGUUUUCAUUAAUCAAGAACGAAAGUUAGAGGUUCGAAGGCGAUUAGAUACCGCCCUAGUUCUAACCAUAAACGAUGCCAGCUAGCGAUCUGCCGACGUUUUUUUUGUAGACUCGGCAGGAAGCUUCCGGGAAACCAAAGCAUUUGGGUUCCAGGGGAAGUAUGGUUGCAAAGCUGAAACUUAAAGGAAUUGACGGAAGGGCACCACCAGGAGUGGAGCCUGUGGCUUAAUUUGACUCAACACGGGAAAUCUCACCAGGCCCGGACACUGGAAGGAUUGACAGAUUGAUAGCUCUUUCUUGAUUCGGUGGGUGGUGGUGCAUGGCCGUUCUUAGUUGGUGGAGUGAUUUGUCUGGUUAAUUCCGAUAACGAACGAGACUCUGUCCUGCUAAAUAGUGUCGGCCUCUGUUUUGGGCAGACAAUUCUUCUUAGAGGGACUGGCAACUCUUAGUUGUACGAGAUUGAGCAAUAACAGGUCUGUGAUGCCCUUAGAUGUUCUGGGCCGCACACGCGCUACACUGAAUAGAUCAACGUGUUGUCCCUCUGCGAGAGCAUCGGGUAAACCGCUGAACCCUAUUCGUGGUAGGGAUCGGGGCUUGCAAUUGUUCCCCGUAAACCAGGAAUUCCCAGUAGGCGCAAGUCAUAAGCUUGUGUCGAUUACGUCCCUGCCCUUUGUACACACCGCCCGUCGCUACUACCGAUUGAACGUUUUAGUGAGGUCCUCGGACUGUUUGGUUGGCGGA
Molecule: ribosomal RNA, 1673 nt
Filed under: Spinocalanus elongatus
Lineage: Eukaryota; Metazoa; Arthropoda; Copepoda; Calanoida; Spinocalanidae
Description: SSU rRNA
Rfam family: Eukaryotic small subunit ribosomal RNA
Source: RNAcentral